GAUGCCUUGGCACUAGGAGCCGAUGAAGGACGUGAUAAGCUGCGAUAAGCUUCGGGGAGUUGCACGUAAACUUUGAUCCGAAGAUUUCCGAAUGAGGAAACUCACUUAGAGUAAUGUCUAAGUAUCAUUAAGUGAAUACAUAGCUUAAUGAGGGGAACUCAGGGAACUGAAACAUCUAAGUACCUGAAGGAAGAGAAAGAAAUUCGAUUCCGUAAGUAGCGGCGAGCGAACGCGGAUUAGCCCAAACCAAUAAAGUUUUCUUUAUUGGGGUUGCGGACAUAUCAUAACGAAGAGGUAUCGUAAUUGAAGAGGUUUGGAAAGACCCACCACAGAAGGUAAUAGUCCUGUAUGUUAAACGAGAAGACUUCAGAUAUGAUCCAGAGUACCACGGGACACGUGAAACCCUGUGGGAAGCAGGAGGGACCACCCUCCAAGGCUAAAUACUACCUAGUGACCGAUAGCGUAUAGUACCGUGAGGGAAAGGUGAAAAGAACCCCGGGAGGGGAGUGAAAUAGAACCUGAAACCCUGCACUUACAAGCUGUGGAAGCACAUUUCUUGUGUGACCGCGUACUUUUUGUAGAACGGGCCAACGAGUUACGUUAAGUAGCAAGGUUAAGCACUUAAGGUGCGGAGCCGUAGCGAAAGCGAGUUUUAACUGAGCGUUCAGUUACUUGACGUAGACCCGAAACCGGGCGACCUACCCAUGAGCAGGAUGAAGCGAAAGUAAAAUUUCGUGGAGGUCCGAACCCACGAGCGUUGAAAAGCUCGGGGAUGACUUGUGGGUAGCGGUGAAAUUCCAAUCGAGCCCGGAGAUAGCUGGUUCUCCCCGAAAUAGCUUUAGGGCUAGCCUCAAGGUGAGAGAUACGGAGGUAGAGCACUGAAUGUCCUAGGGGGUAUUGCACCUACCGAAGACUAUCAAACUCCGAAUGCCGUCAUCUUAUACUUGGGAGUCAGACUGUGGGUGAUAAGAUUCAUAGUCGAAAGGGCAACAGCCCAGAUCGUCAGCUAAGGUCCCUAAAUGUAAGUUAAGUGGUAAAGGAUGUGGGAUUGCACAGACAACCAGGAUGUUGGCUUAGAAGCAGCCACUCAUUCAAAGAGUGCGUAAUAGCUCACUGGUCGAGUGAUCCUGCGCCGAAGAUUUCCGGGGCUAAAACUUACUACCGAAGCUACGGCAUCAGUAAUGAUGGGUAGGGGAGCUUCCCAUACGGGUUGAAGCAUGACCGUAAGGACAUGUGGACAGUAUGGGAGUGAGAAUGUUGGCAUGAGUAGCGAGAUGUGGGUGAGAAUCCCACAGGCCGUAAACCCAAGGUUUCCAGGGGAAGGUUCGUCCGCCCUGGGUUAGUCGGGACCUAAGCUGAGGCCGAAAGGCGUAGGUGAUGGACAACAGGUUGAUAUUCCUGUACUACCGAUAACCGUUUGAGAGAAGGGAUGACACAGUAGGAUAAGCUAAGCACACUGUUGGUUAUGUGUGCCCAAGCAUUGAGGCAGUCAAAGUAGGCAAAUCCGCUUUGAUAAUGCUGGGAUGUGAUGGGGAGCGAAAUUUAGUAGCGAAGUAGCUGAUUUCACACUGUCAAGAAAAGUCUCUAUCGAGGUUAAAGGUACCCGUACCGCAAACCGACACAGGUGGGUGAGGAGAGUAUCCUAAGGCCAGCGAGAGAACUGUUGUUAAGGAACUCGGCAAAAUGACCCCGUAACUUAGGGAUAAGGGGUGCCACCAUCAGGUGGCCGCAGAGAAUAGGCCCAAGCGACUGUUUACCAAAAACAUAGGUUUCUGCUAAGUCGCAAGACGAUGUAUAGGAGCUGACGCCUGCCCGGUGCUGGAAGGUUAAGGGGAUCUGUUAGAGCAAUCGAAGCAGUGAACUUAAGCCCCAGUAAACGGCGGCCGUAACUAUAACGGUCCUAAGGUAGCGAAAUUCCUUGUCGGGUAAGUUCCGACCCGCACGAAAGGCGUAACGAUUUGGGCACUGUCUCAACAACAGACUCGGUGAAAUUGUAAUUCCGGUGAAGAUGCCGGAUACCUGCGACAGGACGGAAAGACCCCAUGGAGCUU
RNAcentral lists this ribosomal RNA (2051 nucleotides) under Clostridioides difficile. RNAcentral's name for it is "partial 23S ribosomal RNA". It matches the Rfam family "Bacterial large subunit ribosomal RNA", at positions 27 to 2101 of the family's 2925-position model. Lineage: Bacteria; Bacillati; Bacillota; Clostridia; Peptostreptococcales; Peptostreptococcaceae. The record is from RNAcentral.